GAAGAGCCUUCGGGCCAUUGAUUGCAUUCCUGUCGACGACAUCUUAGGCAUCAUUGGAGGAGAGUCGUUAUAUUAUAGUGGAUGCUAGAAGCACUUGGAGGGAAACAACUCAUAGCACAGGUAUGAAUCAUCAAUCGACGUGAAAGUCAAGUACUGGUUUAACCAAUACGUUAUAACAAUAAUAAUAAUAAUAAUACUAAUAACUCCACGAGUGGUUUAUAGCGGAAAAAAAGAGGAAACACUUUUCACUUAAACAACUAAUAAAUUGGUGAGACAUUGGAACUACAGCUUGGAAUGAGUUGAUUGUGAUUUUUCUAAUUUAUUAUACCCUAUGGUGUGCACCAACUGGUCCUCAACGGGUUGUUGUGAAUAUUAGUUCAAUAUUUUUAGGCAAUAAUCCAUUCACUUUAAAAGCAAAGUUUUAAGUUAUAUAUAUAUAUAUGAAUAGAGGGAGAGAUCUAUAAGUAUUCAUUCAUAGACUACUUUAGACACGGUAUACACUUCAAAAAUAUACUGUAUAUAUAAGUUUACUAUUUUUAUUUAUACUGUAUAUCCUCCUCACACACACACCAAAAGCCUACUCUUCACGGAUCCCCCGACUGUGUUAACUAUUUGUGAGGUUAUGCCGACACCAAUCCUACCAUUUUUGAUAGAUAAUAUAGUGGAUAUAUAUCACCGUUUUUGCGGUCGUUUUUAACAAAAAAAAUAAUAAAUAAAUAACUUUUUUUUGUCACAGUGUGACAUUGUAUGUGUGUGUGUGUCUCAUAUACUGCCCACCACUUGUGAUAUUUGAUUGACGAUAGAGAGAGUCUUGUGGCUAUAAAGAGUAAAUACUUGAAACGCCCCGAGACUAACAUACUGUCCAUCGGAUAGAUAUCCAACAGUGACGACCCAACACUAUCACCACUACAACAACUACAAGAGAAAAAAAAGAAGAAUAAUUGUUACAAUUGUUGUGAUCUAUAACUUCUAUCUAAAGACUAUAUACCACUAUAUGAGUCCUAAAUGUGCUAAAUAUAUGAACGACUUUUAAUGCACCCGAAAGAGACCCAUCAAAAGAGUGGUCCGAAAAAGUGAUUACCAAUUCUUGUGAGAGAAGAAGGAGAGAGAAGACUACAAGACCUUGAAUUCAAUUGGUUUUCUCAAAAGAUUCCCUCAAAAGAAAUACAGCUCUCAUCUCAUAUAUAAACUCAGAUCAGUUUGAAAUACACCGCUUGACUAGUAUUAUGGUGUGAUCCCUGAGCUCUAUUGGUGUGUCGGUAUAUAUAUAGAUAUCUCAGUGUUAGUGUUUUUAUUUUUAUUAUAAACAUUUAAAAUAA
Molecule: long non-coding RNA, 1319 nt
Organism: Oppia nitens
Lineage: Eukaryota; Metazoa; Arthropoda; Arachnida; Sarcoptiformes; Oppiidae
Exons: 3
Source: RefSeq, a predicted model, not a curated record